GGUUUCCCUUCGUCCGCCGGACGGAGGGAUAAGAGGGAACCGGGUGCGAAUCCCGGACAGUUCCCGCUGCUGUAAGCGUCAUAGGCCGCAGACACGUCUCGAGCCACUGUUCCCUGCGGGGAGCGGGAAGGCGUCUGCGGAUCGGCGCGAGUCAGAAGACCUGCCUCCG
This 169-nucleotide non-coding RNA is filed under the name Alistipes dispar. The record is from RNAcentral. Lineage: Bacteria; Pseudomonadati; Bacteroidota; Bacteroidia; Bacteroidales; Rikenellaceae.